ACAAGCGGUGGAGUAUGUGGUUUAAUUCGACGCAACGCGAAGAACCUUACCAGCUCUUGACAUGUCCAGUUAUGGGUCUGAGAGAUCAGAUCCUUCGGUUCGGCCGGGUGGAACACAGAUGCUGCAUGGCUGUCGUCAGCUCGUGCCGUGAGAUGUUCGGUUAAGUCCGCUAACGAGCGCAACCCUCGCCGUAUGUUACAAGUGUCAUACGGGACUGCCGGUAAAAGCCGGAGGAAGGUGAGGAUGAUGUCAAGUCAGCAUGACCUUUAUAUCCAGGGCUACACACACGCUACAAUGGUCUGUACAAUUGGUUGCCAAGCCGCGAGGCGGAGCCAAUCCGUAAAGCAGGCCUCAGUUCAGAUUGCAGUCUGCAACUCGACUGCAUGAAGCCGGAGUUGCUAGUAACCGCAGGUCAGCAAUACUGCGGUGAAUACGUUCCCGGGUCUU
This 447-nucleotide ribosomal RNA is filed under the name uncultured Anaerolineaceae bacterium. RNAcentral's name for it is "bacterial SSU rRNA". It matches the Rfam family "Bacterial small subunit ribosomal RNA", at positions 925 to 1382 of the family's 1533-position model. Lineage: Bacteria; Bacillati; Chloroflexota; Anaerolineae; Anaerolineales; Anaerolineaceae. The record is from RNAcentral.